CUACGGGGUGCACCAGUGGGGAAUAUUGCACAAUGGGGGGAACCCUGAUGCAGCAACGCCGCGUGGAGGAUGACACAUUUCGGUGCGUAAACUCCUUUUAUAUAAGAAGAUAAUGACGGUAUUAUAUGAAUAAGCACCGGCUAACUCCGUGCCAGCAGCCGCGGUAAUACGGGGGGUGCAAGCGUUACUCGGAAUCACUGGGCGUAAAGAGCAUGUAGGCUGGUUUGUAAGUUGGAAGUGAAAUCCUAUGGCUUAACCAUAGAACUGCUUCCAAAACUACUUACCUAGGGUAUGGGAGAGGUAGAUGGAAUUUCUGGUGUAGGGGUAAAAUCCGUAGAGAUCAGAAGGAAUACCGAUUGCGAAGGCGAUCUACUGGAACAUUACUGACGCUCAGAUGCGAAAGCGUGGGGAGCAAACAGGAUUAGAUACCCCGGUAGUC
Molecule: ribosomal RNA, 439 nt
Filed under: uncultured bacterium
Lineage: Bacteria
Description: partial 16S ribosomal RNA
Rfam family: Bacterial small subunit ribosomal RNA
Source: RNAcentral